Molecule: ribosomal RNA, 653 nt
Filed under: uncultured rumen bacterium
Lineage: Bacteria
Description: bacterial SSU rRNA
Rfam family: Bacterial small subunit ribosomal RNA
Source: RNAcentral
CUUAACACAUGCAAGUCGAGGGGCAGCAUGAAGUUUGCUUGCAAACUUUGAUGGCGACCGGCGCACGGGUGAGUAACGCGUAUCCAACCUUCCCCUUAGUAGGGGAUAGCCCGGCGAAAGUCGGAUUAAUACCCUAUGUUCUCCUUUGAAGACAUCUGACGAGGAGCAAAGAUUGAUCGCUAAGGGAUGGGGAUGCGUCUGAUUAGGUUGCAGGCGGGGUAACGGCCCACCUGGCCCACGAUCAGUAGGGGUUCUGAGAGGAAGGUCCCCCACAUUGGAACUGAGACACGGUCCAAACUCCUACGGGAGGCAGCAGUGAGGAAUAUUGGUCAAUGGACGAGAGUCUGAACCAGCCAAGUAGCGUGCAGGAUGACGGCCCUAUGGGUUGUAAACUGCUUUUGCCGGGGAAUAAAGUGCGGCACGCGUGCCGUUUUGUAUGUACCCGGAGAAUAAGGACCGGCUAAUUCCGUGCCAGCAGCCGCGGUAAUACGGAAGGUCCGGGCGUUAUCCGGAUUUAUUGGGUUUAAAGGGAGCGCAGGCCGUUGAUUAAGCGUGACGUGAAAUGCCGCGGCUCAACCGUGGAAGUGCGUCGCGAACUGGUUGACUUGAGUGAGUUCGACGUCAGCGGAAUUCGUGGUGUAGCGGUGAAAUGC